AUAAAAAAUAUGUAAAUAGAAUAUAGUAUAAAUGAGGAUUAAAAAACUGGAAAACAAAGGAUAAGAGUAAGUAAGAAAAAGGGAGAUUAAAAGGCUUCAGUUUUAUCAGGAAUGAAAGAAAAAUAGAUUUAAACACUCAGAGCCUGCUUUUGUAAAAAGAACGGCGAUAAUUCCCUUGACAGUCAAAGAAAGCAUUUAAAGUGAUAUUUACAAUAAAGACACAGUAAAGGGAACAGAACUAAAAACGUUACUAAAUUCACAUUUAAUGGCAAGCUCAAUAUGUCAGUGUUUUUUAUAUGCCCUGUAAAUUGCCCAUUGUUUGAGUAUGUUUUGAACAAACG
Schizosaccharomyces pombe (fission yeast) is the source of this 341-nucleotide non-coding RNA. The record is from the annotation of a GenBank genome assembly. Lineage: Eukaryota; Fungi; Ascomycota; Schizosaccharomycetes; Schizosaccharomycetales; Schizosaccharomycetaceae.